UACGGAGGGUGCGAGCGUUAAUCGGAAUUACUGGGCGUAAAGCGUGCGCAGGCGGUUUUGUAAGCCAGAUGUGAAAUCCCCGGGCUCAACCUGGGAAUGGCAUUUGUGACUGUAGAGCUGGAGUGCGGCAGAGGGGGAUGGAAUUCCGCGUGUAGCAGUGAAAUGCGUAGAUAUGCGGAGGAACACCGAUGGCGAAGGCAAGCCCCUGGGCCUGCACUGACGCUCAUGCACGAAAGCGUGGGGAGCAAACAGG
This 253-nucleotide ribosomal RNA is filed under the name uncultured bacterium. Its description in RNAcentral is "partial 16S ribosomal RNA". It matches the Rfam family "Bacterial small subunit ribosomal RNA", at positions 524 to 776 of the family's 1533-position model. The record is from RNAcentral.